UACGAAGGGGGCUAGCGUUGCUCGGAAUCACUGGGCGUAAAGCGCACGUAGGCGGAUUGUUAAGUCAGGGGUGAAAUCCUGGAGCUCAACUCCAGAACUGCCUUUGAUACUGGCGAUCUCGAGUCCGGGAGAGGUGAGUGGAACUGCGAGUGUAGAGGUGAAAUUCGUAGAUAUCAGGAAGAACACCCGUGGCGAAGGCGGCUCUCUGGUCCGUGACUGACGCUGAGGCGCGAAAGCGUGGGGAGCGAACAGG
RNAcentral lists this ribosomal RNA (253 nucleotides) under uncultured bacterium. RNAcentral describes it as "partial 16S ribosomal RNA". It matches the Rfam family "Bacterial small subunit ribosomal RNA", at positions 524 to 776 of the family's 1533-position model. The record is from RNAcentral.